CCCAGACUCCUACGGGAGGCAGCAGUGGGGAAUAUUGGGCAAUGGGCGCAAGCCUGACCCAGCAACGCCGCGUGAAGGAAGAAGGCUUUCGGGUUGUAAACUUCUUUUAAGAGGGAAGAGCAGAAGACGGUACCUCUUGAAUAAGCCACGGCUAACUACGUGCCAGCAGCCGCGGUAAUACGUAGGUGGCAAGCGUUAUCCGGAUUUACUGGGUGUAAAGGGAGCGUAGACGGCAGUGCAAGUCCGGAGUGAAAGCCCGGGGCUCAACCCUGGGACUGCUCUGGAAACUGUAAAGCUGGAGUGCGGGAGGGGCAGGCGGAAUUCCUGGUGUAGCGGUGAAAUGCGUAGAUAUCAGGAGGAACACCGGCGGCGAAGGCGGCCUGCUGGACCGUAACUGACGUUGAGGCUCGAAAGCGUGGGGAGCAAACAGGAUUAGAUACCCCGGUACA
RNAcentral lists this ribosomal RNA (449 nucleotides) under uncultured bacterium. RNAcentral's name for it is "bacterial SSU rRNA". It matches the Rfam family "Bacterial small subunit ribosomal RNA", at positions 330 to 794 of the family's 1533-position model. The record is from RNAcentral.